AACUUUGCGCAGUGGCAGUAUCAUUGCCAAUGAGGUUUAUCCAAGGCGUGAUUAUUGCUAAUUGAAAGCAUUUGAACUUCAUGAAAAAUGUAUGCAUAGAUGUGAUUAUU
RNAcentral lists this small nuclear RNA (110 nucleotides) under Neogale vison (American mink). RNAcentral's name for it is "Neovison vison (American mink) U4 spliceosomal RNA (ENSNVIG00000008603.1)". It matches the Rfam family "U4 spliceosomal RNA". From Rfam's summary of the family: U4 small nuclear RNA (U4 snRNA) is a component of the major U2-dependent spliceosome. Lineage: Eukaryota; Metazoa; Chordata; Mammalia; Carnivora; Mustelidae. The record is from Rfam by way of RNAcentral.